This 253-nucleotide ribosomal RNA is filed under the name uncultured prokaryote. RNAcentral describes it as "partial 16S ribosomal RNA". It matches the Rfam family "Bacterial small subunit ribosomal RNA", at positions 525 to 777 of the family's 1533-position model. The record is from RNAcentral.
ACGGAGGGGGCGAGCGUUAUUCGGAAUUAUUGGGCGUAAAGGGCGCGUAGGCGGCUCGAUAAGUCAAAGGUGAAAUCCCUCGGCUCAACUGGGGAACUGCCUUUGAAACUGUAGAGCUUGAGUCCGGGAGGGGGUAGCGGAAUUCCCAGUGUAGCGGUGAAAUGCGUAGAUAUUGGGAGGAACACCAGUGGCGAAGGCGGCUACCUGGACAAUUGCUGACGCUCAGGCACGAAAGCGUGGGGAGCAAAAGGGA